RNAcentral lists this ribosomal RNA (500 nucleotides) under uncultured bacterium. RNAcentral's name for it is "partial 16S ribosomal RNA". It matches the Rfam family "Bacterial small subunit ribosomal RNA", at positions 30 to 523 of the family's 1533-position model. The record is from RNAcentral.
AUUGAACGCUGGCGGAAUGCUUUACACAUGCAAGUCGAACGGCAGCACGGACUUCGGUCUGGUGGCGAGUGGCGAACGGGUGAGUAAUGUGUCGGAACGUGCCCAGUCGUGGGGGAUAACGUAGUGAAAAUUACGCUAAUACCGCAUACGAUCUAUGGAUGAAAGCGGGGGAUCGCAAGACCUCGCGCGAUUGGAGCGGCCGAUAUCAGAUUAGGUAGUUGGUGGGGUAAAGGCCCACCAAGCCAACGAUCUGUAGCUGGUCUGAGAGGACGAACAGCCACACUGGAACUGAGACACGGUGCAGACUCCUACGGGAGGCAGCAGUGGGGAAUUUUGGACAAUGGGCGAAAGCCUGAUCCAGCCAUUCCGCGUGCAGGAUGAAGGCCCUCGGGUUGUAAACUGCUUUUGUACAGAACGAAAAGGUUUCUACUAAUACUAGGAGCUCAUGACGGUACUGUAAGAAUAAGCACCGGCUAACUACGUGCCAGCCGCCGCGGUAA